UCGGGUUGUAAAGCACUUUUGUCCGGAAAGAAAACUUCGGAGUUAAUACCUCUGGAGGAUGACGGUACCGGAAGAAUAAGCACCGGCUAACUACGUGCCAGCAGCGCGGUAAUCGUAGGGUGCGAGCGUUAAUCGGAAUUACUGGGCGUAAAGCGUGCGCAGGCGGUGAUGUAAGACCGAUGUGAAAUCCCCGGGCUUAACCUGGGAACUGCAUUGGUGACUGCAUCGCUCGAGUAUGGCAGAGGGGGGUAGAAUUCCACGUGUAGCAGUGAAAUGCGUAGAGAUGUGGAGGAAUACCGAUGGCGAAGGCAGCCCCCUGGGUCAAUACUGACGCUCAUGCACGAAAGCGUGGGGAGCAAACAGGAUUAGAUACCCUGGUAGUCCACGCCCUAAACGAUGUCAACUGGUUGUCGGGCCUUCAUUGGCUUGGUAACGUAGCUAACGCGUGAAGUUGACCGCCUGGGGAGUACGGUCGCAAGAUUAAAACUCAAAGGAAUUGACGGGGACCCGCACAAGCGGUGGAUGAUGUGGAUUAAUUCGAUGCAACGCGAAAAACCUUACCUACCCUUGACAUGUAUGGAAUCCUGCCG
RNAcentral lists this ribosomal RNA (590 nucleotides) under uncultured Burkholderia sp. RNAcentral describes it as "bacterial SSU rRNA". It matches the Rfam family "Bacterial small subunit ribosomal RNA", at positions 418 to 1003 of the family's 1533-position model. The record is from RNAcentral. Lineage: Bacteria; Pseudomonadati; Pseudomonadota; Betaproteobacteria; Burkholderiales; Burkholderiaceae.